AGCAUAUCAAUAAGCGGAGGAAAAGAAACCAACAGGGAUUGCCUUAGUAACGGCGAGUGAAGCGGCAACAGCUCAAAUUUGAAAGCUGGCCCUUUCAGGGUCCGCAUUGUAAUUUGUAGAGGAUGAUUCGGCGAGGGCUCCCGCCUAAGUCCCCUGGAACGGGGCGUCAUAGAGGGUGAGAAUCCCGUAUGCGGUGGGCUGCCUUAGCCAUGUGAAUCUCCUUCGACGAGUCGAGUUGUUUGGGAAUGCAGCUCUAAAUGGGAGGUAAAUUUCUUCUAAAGCUAAAUACCGGCCAGAGACCGAUAGCGCACAAGUAGAGUGAUCGAAAGAUGAAAAGCACUUUGGAAAGAGAGUUAAAAAGUACGUGAAAUUGUUGAAAGGGAAGCGCUUGCAACCAGACUUGUCCGCAGUUGCUCAGCCGGUCUCCUGACCGGCGUACUCUUCUGCGGCCAGGCCAGCAUCAGUUCGGGCGGUCGGAUAAAGACCUCGGGAAUGUAGCUCCUCUCGGGGAGUGUUAUAGCCCGGGGUGGAAUGCGGCCAGCCUGGACUGAGGAUCUCGCUUCGGCAAGGAUGCUGGCGUAAUGGUUGUAAGCGGCCCGUCUUGAAACACGGACCAAGGAGUCUAACAUCUAUGCGAGUGUUUGGGUGUCAAACCCAUACGCGUAAUGAAAGUGAACGGAGGUGGGAACCCGCAAGGGUGCACCAUCGGCCGAUCCUGAUGUCUUCGGAUGGAUUUGAGCAAGAGCAUAGCUGUUGGGACCCGAAAGAUGGUGAACUAUGCCUGAAUAGGGUGAAGCCAGAGGAAACUCUGGUGGAGGCUCGCAGCGGUUCUGACGUGCAAAUCGAUCGUCAAAUUUGGGUAUAGGGGCGAAAGACUAAUCGAACCAUC
Molecule: ribosomal RNA, 889 nt
Filed under: Diplodia seriata
Lineage: Eukaryota; Fungi; Ascomycota; Dothideomycetes; Botryosphaeriales; Botryosphaeriaceae
Description: LSU rRNA
Rfam family: Eukaryotic large subunit ribosomal RNA
Source: RNAcentral